Long non-coding RNA from Athene cunicularia (burrowing owl), 3655 nucleotides. RefSeq lists it as uncharacterized. The transcript has 3 exons. The record is from RefSeq and is a predicted model, not a curated record. Lineage: Eukaryota; Metazoa; Chordata; Aves; Strigiformes; Strigidae.
UUUACCGAUGCAAGAGAAUUUCUACAUUAGUGCGUGUGCUAUUUGAAAAAAUAUGUUUCUUAAAGAUGGCUGUGGACUCAUCUGUAAAUUAAUAACCUUGCUUUAAAAAAUCUUCCUUAUUACUUUAAGUCCUUUUGAGAUUCCCCUGAAGAUAUCUUGAAAGAUUUUCUUCCCUUCCCCAUAUCUCCUCCCAUCCUUACUAAGGAACAGCUGGGUCCAUUUAAAAUUGAUUUCAAUCUCUCAAAGCAGGAUUUGAUUUCUCCAAGCUUCCGCCUGGAAAGUGCACAGUGUCGCAGCCACCCCGAGAUAUCAGCUGGCAGAGCUCGAGCCUGGCAGAGAACAAGUGGGGCAGGCACGAGCACGGGGCAGCAGAGGGAUUUCCAGCGUGAGGGUGCUGGGGUUUGCUGGCCGCCUGCAGUUCAAGCGGUGAGACGUUCCCCGUGGCACUGGCUCUCCAUCCCACACCCCGACACGUUCCCAACCCCAAAUCCGCCUGCGCUCUCAGCCUGCUUUGGAGAUACGGGUCACCCCCAAAACCAUGGAAAGGUCCUGGUCAUUGCUCCGCCAACAAAACUGCUUUCAGGAAAGAAGGACUAAAAAUAUCGCCAGGGUGUGCAUUCAGAGUGCGAUGCUUGAGGAUCGGUUUUGGAUUGUGCUGACUCCCAUUCCCAUUUUUUGCUGAAAUCCUCAAAAUUGGGAUGAAAUGAAGCAUUAGGAAACGAACUGGGCCUCGUUCCCUUCCUUCUGUUAGUUUUGAAUUAACAAAAAAUUAAAUUAAGAGCUAAUUAAAUCGACAAAAUUAGAAACGUAUUAUUUCCCAAAAUUACUUUGCUUUUUCUUUUUUUUAAUUCCAGCUUUCACCAGGCGCUUGACAGCUAUGCAGCAAAUCUGUGUCCCUAAGGGAUGGGAGUCCCUGGCCACGCAGACGAGGCACAGAGAGGUCGGGAAUGUCUCCUAAGGACACACGGGAAACCUGAGUCAACACCAACAAGUCCCAAAUCUCCAUUCAGCCUUAGCUACACUCAGCAUCUUUUCAGGUGGUGCAAGAGCAGCCUUGAAAACCUGAAAAAAAACCUCAAUUUUGAGCAACAUAUUGUAGUAGUAGCAUCACAUCCAGGCAGGCUAUUUCUCAAGAAUAUGUGGAUGGCACAAACAUGGAUGAAGAUUUGAGAAUACUGCUCAUCAUCUUUGCUCUUGUUUCAACCUAAGGAGUGCAGUAAAGGGAAUAUGAGAUGGUUUGGGAGAUCAAAAAGGGCUGAGUAGCACGCAGACACUGUUCAGGCCUUCCAAACACUUUAAUUUGCUAUUCAGAUUACCACUUUUUAUAGUUUAAUAUGUACAAUAUGCAAAGGAACCAGUUUAACUAAAUGGGAAAGGCCUUUUGUGUUAAGGAUGAAUGUAAUCUAAUACGGCCCUUUGACUUGAUUCAAUUAAAUCCUUUCUUUUCCAAUUAAAUAAUCAGCCAGAAUUUAAUAAAAAUGAAUUUCAAUGUGUCAGCCUGCAGAAUGAUGACCUCUGAGAUGGUGAAGGCUUAUGUAAAUUCUGCUGAUCGCUUUUUAUCUGCUUGUGUCUCACUUCCACCAAAAAAAAAUAAUUGCCUUCUGUUGGUAUAUUUACAUUAUUUUCUCAUCUGCACUAUGUAUCUCUGCUUACAGUAACAAUUCUCAGCUGAAAACCAGGCCGUGAGUGUCACCAGCUCCUUUUCAGCACGUCCUCUAAAACCCACCUUCUGUGACUGGAAAGAGAGAUCACCAAAGAUGGGAUUUUUGAUCUGUGCCUCUAUUUUGUUACACCCUGGCAUGCUGCGGUGUGAAGAGUGGCAAUUUGGCCCUUUCCAAAUGUCACCAGAGACAUCUGGGUGGCCAUUCAUCCCCAAAGAAAAGCUCACCAACAAAAUCCAGUCCGAGACACCAGCAAACUUUAGGAGCAACCACCAGAAAAAGCACAGCAUGCCCCGGGUUCAGGAGUCUCUUGUAGCACAUCCCUGCGAAGUAAUUUCCAUCCAAGUUACAAUAGUUGUUAAUCUCUACCGUGGUUUUUUUUCCGCUACAAAGGUCACAUUUUUAUUUGUGUAUUUAUAACUGCAUUUGACCCCCCCCUUCUCCCCCUUAAAAUACUGAGCACCGACUCUUUUCUUCCUCAGCUGGAGUAUACGGCAGCAUCUCAACACAAACCUUGCUGAGGUGUUACUGCUGCAGUGCAGCUGGUACACUAGUGCUUUAGUUAAAAAGUUAUUAAAAUGAGAUUAAACAGAGCUAAGGAUGGGUGGGUUAAAAAUGUGGGUGAAUAUCCUGGUUUUCCACGUGAUGCUGCAGUGACACGUUUCCCCAUCUCUGUUUCUGUGCAGGUGAAAGGGUCCCAGUGACCUUCCUGUGCUGCACGUCCCUUGGGACCACGAAAACAAACCCAUUCAUGUUUAUAAAGUGUCUGGGACCGGGGGAAUUACAUCACCGCGGCAAGAUACAAGUUUAAUGGAUCAAAACAAACCCCAGAUCCAACCCCCCCAACUUAGACAAGGCUCAGUUACCCGGCGCAAACCUUGAGGAAUCCCACUGAGAAGGGAUAAUUGAGAGAAAAAUGCGAUCCCAGAGAUUUUUCUCCAGUGAACCUGUUUUACGUUAAUAGGAAGCAGAUUUCUAGACCCCUUGCAAACAAAUGACUUCCACAGCAUAUUUCACAGCUGAGCGCAUCUAUGGCACCAGUCUUUAUAUGCAGCUCUAUUAAACCCAACAUUUGUUUAAUGAAUUACAGCAAUCUAAUGAAUCUGGGUACGUUCUGCCUAUAUUUAAGUGUUUAUGGGGACGACGUCAGCAGCCAGCUUCUCACAAGCAGGUAUUGGUGUCAGUGAUGAGCUCCCGCUGCAACAUACCCAAAACUUUUAAUAUUCUGGGGGUUCUGCUUUCUUGACUAUUGUGGGCAGUUGAUUACUGCUCAGUUUUAUGAAUGUUAAAUGCAGGAGUUCCAAGGUCUCUGCUUUAACUGAAAACUGUUUGGAUUCAGUGCAGAUUUGGGGGAGGUUGUCCCCACUGAUGUCUGUCAUCUGAGAGAUAUAAACUGUGGCACAUCUCCCACCUGGCCCGGGUUGGUCCAUGCAACUGAAAGGUGAAUGAAGCCAUUAAAACUCACAGUCAAUCGUGGUUGACAUGCUACAGCUAUUUCCAGGAUGACCUCAUCUUCAUCUCACGGGACGGAAAUCAAACGAAGAUGUCAAAACAGCGCUACCUCUGCCUUAGGCAAAAAGGAGACACGGUGACCCCCAAGUCCUUCCAAACGUGAGCUUAGCUUGUGUGAAGAGAAAGCAUCUCCGGCAUCAUCAUAAUUAAAGGCAGCGCUAGAUGAAAGAUGAGCAAGAAAAAUCAGAGGAAAAUAAUGGUGCCACCGAGGUGAUGCUUGUAUUGGAGUGGAAAGCUGCGAUUAGGCGAACAUGAGAAGCAAAAGAGGAACCUGAUGAGGCAAACCAAGAGAAACCAGCACUGGGGACUCUGUCACUGAAACCGCCGCCUGAAGGUUCAGUGGCCUGGGGCCAGGGGCACCCGCUCAAACGAAAUUGUUUCCAAGUAAGCUCGAGCUGCUUUUGAAUGGCAUUUGAGAUCCAGAGGCUUGGAAAGGGGAAGAGCAGGAAAUCGGCACUGCAGAGGGGGAAGAGCUCAUGCAA